UGAAUACGAGACGCUAAGGCGUCGAAGUAGUGUAUGUCAUACUUCCAAGAAAAGCUUGCACUGUCAUAGAUAAAAAACGCCUGUACCAUAACCGACACAGGUGGGUAGGUAGAGUAUACUAAGGGGCGCGAGAUAACUCUCUCUAAGGAACUCGGCAAAAUAACUCCGUAUCUUCGGGAGAAGGAGUGCCUUAUUCGUAAGGUUGCAAUAACAAGAUCCAAGCAACUGUUUAUCAAAAACACAGGUCUCCGCUAAGUCGUAAGACGAUGUAUGGGGGCUGACGCCUGCCCAGUGCCAGAAGGUUAAAGAAGUUGGUUAGCAAUUGCGAAGCUGAUAACUGAAGCCCUGGUGAACGGCGGCCGUAACGAUAACGGUCCUAAGGUAGCGAAAUUCCUUGUCGGGUAAGUUCCGACCCGCACGAAAGGCGUAAUGAUUUGGAUACUGUCUCGGAGAGGGGCUCGGUGAAAUAGACUUGUCUGUGAAGAUGCGGACUACCUGCACCAGGACAGAAAGACCCUAUGAAGCUUUACUGUAACUUGAAAUUGAAAUUGGACUUUAUUCGCGCAGUAUAGGUGGGAGGCGUUGAUUAUAAUCUUGUGGGAUUAUUGGAGCCAUCAGUGAGAUACCACUCUUGUAAUGUUAGAUUUCUAACUUUGAAUCAUUAUCUGGUCAAAGAACAGUUUCAGGCGGGCAGUUUGACUGGGGCGGUCGCCUCCUAAACGGUAACGGAGGCGUACAAAGGUUUCCUCUGAACGGUUAGAAAUCGUAUCUAGAGUGUAAAGGCAUAAGGAAGCUUGACUGUGAGACCUACAAGUCGAGCAGGGACGAAAGUCGGUCUUAGUGAUCUGACGGUACUGAGUGGAAAGGCCGUCACUCAACGGAUAAAAGUUACUCUAGGGAUAACAGGCUGAUCUCCCCCAAGAGUUCACAUCGACGGGGAGGUUUGGCACCUCGAUGUCGGCUCAUCGCAUCCUGGGGCGGUAGUACGUCCCAAGGGUUGGGCUGUUCGCCCAUGAAAGCGGUACGCGAGCUGGGUUCAGAACGUCGUGAGACAGUUCAGUCCAUAUCCGGUGUAGGCGUUAGAAUAUUGAGAGGAGCCUUCUUUAGUACGAGAGGACCGAGAAGGACAUACCUCUGGUGUACCAGUUAUCGUGCCAACGGUAAACGCUGGGUAGCUAUGUAUGGAGUGGAUAACCGCUGAAAGCAUCUAAGUGGGAAGCCCACCUCAAGAUAAGUA
Molecule: ribosomal RNA, 1237 nt
Filed under: metagenome
Description: bacterial LSU rRNA
Rfam family: Bacterial large subunit ribosomal RNA
Source: RNAcentral